CAGGGAGAGCAUGACGCCUCUUCAGGAGGUCCUGAAUACUUUCCCAAGCAGUGCCAGUUAAUUUCAAACUGGCAAAUUGUACCCUCCGAUCUUCCGUGACCCCAUACCAGGCAAAGAACCGAUCCAUAUCUCUAACACAUUGAUUGAAUACACUAGGAUCUAGACAACCAUCAAAUGUAGGAACAUCUAUCUUAAUGUUUCGAAAGAGGCGCUCCUCGUGGCAAGGGAGAGGUUGUGUACCAUGAUGGUGUUAUUCCCGCUCUCAUCCACGAGCCUGAUUUCCUUCCCUAUGAUCAUAUCUGGCGUGGUGUCAACCAACUUGUAGACGAUGUUGAGUUCUAUUAAUGGAAGUUUCAGAGUUUUAAGCUUCAGUCGAAUAUGGGGUUGGAUCAAGACUCAAGAGUGUUCAACCUAGCGGCUAGGGCUCUAUUCUCCUUACGAGUAGCGGCUAUCUCAGUUUGGAUAGCUGUUAAUUGAUUUUGUAAUUGUGCUAACUGUCGGGUGAGGACUUCAAUUUGGGACGGAUCCAUGGCAAGGGUACUAGAACUAGAGGUAGUAACGCAACCACUAUACAAAUGCAUACAAAGUAACACUAACUAAGUGAAAUGCACUAUUGAGAUCAAUAAACAACGGGUACCAACAAUAAAAUAGCAAUUUAUUUUAUUUUAUUUUAUUUUUAUUUUUAAGUUAGUGAAAAAAAAGAUGGGAUUACGUAGGGCCGAACGUGGCAAACUAAUAAUACUGAUGCAAAUAAAAUAGAAAGCAAGGAUACAAAUGACUAUUUGAAAGGUCUAAUCACGUGGGGGUAAUCGGGAAACAAUGGAUGUGAACUCACAAACUCUAAUCAAAUGGAUUUUUAAGGCUACAAUUAUCAAAUAACAGCAACACAUGUAAAUGAUGCUUUAAAAUGAAGUAGUGUAAACCAAGAAUAAAUAAACGUCAAGGACUCCCUGUCAUUUAGUUGCUCAAACUGCUCACACAUGGGCUCUGGAUAUAAUUGCAUCCUUUCCUUCACUUCAAGUGGUUUCCUGUGAAUAUGAGUGACUGUUGUUCUAGUUCUGCUGGUGGUGUAUGUAGAAAUUGUCCCUUUGUUGUGGUGUUGGCGGCGGCAGGUGGCGGUGGAAACGACUGUGACUUUUAUCCUGAGUGUGGAAGUGAAGGGGUGUAUGGCGUCUGGGUUGUGUGUAGGUGGAACGAUUUGUCUGGUGACUGUGGCUUAUGGUGGCCGUGGUGACCAAGAAGAAAUGGGUCGUGGGUUUGAAUUGGAUUAAGUGAAAGUGAGUUUUAACUUGGAUUGGGAGUAAUUUGGACCACUAGUUUAUGGCCCCAAAUGUCUUGAUAAAAGGAAUGGGCUCGCGGGUAAUAAUUAUAUGUGGGUAUAUGGAUUAUUAUA
RNAcentral lists this long non-coding RNA (1393 nucleotides) under Olea europaea (common olive). RNAcentral describes it as "long non-coding RNA (OEUR_LNC012347)". Lineage: Eukaryota; Viridiplantae; Streptophyta; Magnoliopsida; Lamiales; Oleaceae. The record is from RNAcentral.